GGAUUAGGUAGUUGGUGGGGUAAUGGCCUACCAAGCCGACGAUCCAUAGCUGGUUUUAGAGGAUGAUCAGCCACACUGGGACUGAGACACGGCCCAGACUCGUACGGGAGGCAGCAGUGGGGAAUCUUAGACAAUGGGGGAAACCCUGAUCUAGCCAUGCCGCGUGAGUGACGAAGGCCCUAGGGUCGUAAAGCUCUUUCAACGGUGAAGAUAAUGACGGUAGCCGUAGAAGAAACCCCGGCUAACUCCGUGCCAGCAGCCGCGGUAAUACGGAGGGGGUUAGCGUUGUUCGGAAUUACUGGGCGUAAAGCGCGCGUAGGCGGAUUGGAAAGUUGGGGGUGAAAUCCCGGGGCUCAACCCCGGAACUGCCUCCAAAACUAUCAGUCUAGAGUUCGAGAGAGGUGAGUGGAAUUCCGAGUGUAGAGGUGAAAUUCGUAGAUAUUCGGAGGAACACCAGUGGCGAAGGCGGCUCA
RNAcentral lists this ribosomal RNA (473 nucleotides) under uncultured Roseovarius sp. RNAcentral describes it as "bacterial SSU rRNA". It matches the Rfam family "Bacterial small subunit ribosomal RNA", at positions 238 to 728 of the family's 1533-position model. The record is from RNAcentral. Lineage: Bacteria; Pseudomonadati; Pseudomonadota; Alphaproteobacteria; Rhodobacterales; Roseobacteraceae.